RNAcentral lists this ribosomal RNA (484 nucleotides) under uncultured bacterium. RNAcentral describes it as "partial 16S ribosomal RNA". It matches the Rfam family "Bacterial small subunit ribosomal RNA", at positions 30 to 507 of the family's 1533-position model. The record is from RNAcentral.
AUUGAACGCUGGCGGCAGGCCUAACACAUGCAAGUCGAGCGGAUGAACGGAGCUUGCUCCUGGAUUCAGCGGCGGACGGGUGAGUGAUGCCUAGGAAUCUGCCUGUCUGUGGGGGAUAACGUCCGGAAGCGGGCGCUAAUACCGCAUUAGUGCAGAGGGAGAACGGGGGGGAGCUUCGGACCUCACGCUCUCAGAUGAGUCUAGGUCGGAUUAGCGAGUUGGUGGGGUAAAGGCCUACCAAGGCGACGAUCCGUAACUGGUCUGAGAGGAUGAUCAGUCACACUGGAACUGAGACACGGUCCAGACUCCUACGGGAGGCAGCAGUGGGGAAUAUUGGACAAUGGGCGAAAGCCUGAUCCAGCCAUGCCGCGUGUGUGAAGAAGGUCUUCGGAUUGUAAAGCACUUUAAUUGGGGAGGAAGGGCAGUAAGUUAAUACCUUGCUGUUUUGACGUUACCAACAGAAUAAGCACCGGCUAACUUCGUG